RNAcentral lists this microRNA precursor (168 nucleotides) under Oryza brachyantha (malo sina). RNAcentral's name for it is "MIR812 microRNA precursor family". It matches the Rfam family "MIR812 microRNA precursor family", at positions 27 to 189 of the family's 205-position model. Lineage: Eukaryota; Viridiplantae; Streptophyta; Magnoliopsida; Poales; Poaceae. The record is from Rfam by way of RNAcentral.
UUUAAUUUUUGACUUUUUAUCUUAUUUAAAAAAAAUUUGUGAUUGAUAUUUUUAUUUUUAUUAGAUGAUAAAUCAUGAAUAGUAUUUUACGUGUAACUAAUUUUUUUUAAUUUCCUAAAAAAAUUUUAAAUAAGACGGAUAGUCAAACGUUGAACACGAAAACCGGAG